UACGUAGGGUGCGAGCGUUAUUCGGAAUUACUGGGCGUAAAGCGUGCGCAGGCGGUUUUGUAAGUCAGAUGUGAAAUCCCCGGGCUUAACCUGGGAAUGGCGUUUGGGACUGGAAGUCUGGAGUGCGGCAGAGGAGACUGGAAUUCCUGGUGUAGCAGUGAAAUGCGUAGAUAUCAGGAGGAACACCGAUGGCGAAGGCAGGUCUCUGGGCUGACACUGACGCUCAUGCACGAAAGCGUGGGGAGCAAACAGG
This 253-nucleotide ribosomal RNA is filed under the name uncultured bacterium. Its description in RNAcentral is "partial 16S ribosomal RNA". It matches the Rfam family "Bacterial small subunit ribosomal RNA", at positions 524 to 776 of the family's 1533-position model. The record is from RNAcentral.